GUAAUAGUUAUGUUCUUGAAACUCAAAGAAUUUGGCGGUGUUUUAGUCUUUUCAGAGGAACCUGUCCCGUAAUCGAUAAUCCACGUUAAACCUUACUUAUUUUUGUUAACAGCUUGUAUACCGCCGUCGUCAGAAUGUCCUAAGAAGGUUUUAAUUUUCUUAAAUUUUUAUUAAAAAUGAUGUCAGGUCAAGGUGUAGCUUACGGAUAAGUGGAGAUGGGUUACAAUAAAUUUAUUUAUGACGGAUAAGUUUUUGAAAUAAAUCUUUGAAGGUGGAUUUGAUAGUAAUUAAAUUAAUAAAAUUAUUUUGAUUUUAGCUCUAAAACAUGCACACAUCGCCCG
RNAcentral lists this ribosomal RNA (341 nucleotides) under Malenka californica (Calidornia forestfly). Its description in RNAcentral is "partial 12S ribosomal RNA". It matches the Rfam family "Microsporidia small subunit ribosomal RNA", at positions 757 to 1198 of the family's 1311-position model. Lineage: Eukaryota; Metazoa; Arthropoda; Insecta; Plecoptera; Nemouridae. The record is from RNAcentral.